Molecule: long non-coding RNA, 107 nt
Organism: Sapajus apella (tufted capuchin)
Lineage: Eukaryota; Metazoa; Chordata; Mammalia; Primates; Cebidae
Exons: 2
Source: RefSeq, a predicted model, not a curated record
GUGGCUCAUGCUUACAAUCCUAGCACUAUGGGAGGCGAGGCUGGAGAAUCAUCUGAGGUCAGGAGUUUGAGACCAGCCUGGCCAACAUGGUAAAACCCCUUCUCUAC